GCCACCAGCACCGCCACCCAUGGCGCCGCUCCAUGGGUCAUGAUUUCUACUUUUCUACUUUCCUUCUCCGGAGGUUUGGCCCUCGAUGAUCGACCGAUAAUUGGGAAAAAUCAAAGAAAAGGGGCGGAUCCCUAUUUUUUUGAUUUUUUCUAAAUUCUCAUCGGUCGAACCUCACCGUCGGUCAUCUCUUGCCCCACCGCCAUCGGCUAUCAUUGUCGGACCA
Molecule: long non-coding RNA, 223 nt
Filed under: Elaeis guineensis (African oil palm)
Lineage: Eukaryota; Viridiplantae; Streptophyta; Magnoliopsida; Arecales; Arecaceae
Description: long non-coding RNA (EGUI_LNC055463)
Source: RNAcentral